AUGGAUCUGGAGGCGAAAAGAGACUUGGUAGACUCUCUACGUCGCUACCGUGAGACCCUGAGGUGGGAGACCGAAUUCCUGAGGUGGGAGGUCACCUCCCGUGGCCUGGGGACGAUUGCUGGGAGGAAGGAGUAUCUGAAGGAGCAUACUGCUGGAAGAUCACUAUCUCGCGAAUUACCUCAGCUGAAGGAGCAGUUGUCCGGCCAGAAGAUCGCGAGCCUGCCUGUGGUGAGUUUGCCCUACCUUGUUCCUCGUCACGAGGAGGCCCUCGAUCUGCUCCUGCACGAGGCGCACAAGCUGGGCUACCGGAUCCAGUCUCUGAGGGAACUCGCUGCUCCAAUCUCCUUGGAGACGGCCAGGUUACUGUGUCUCCUGUCGGAGAGAUGUGCGGAGAUCUCCAGAAUCAUUGCGAGGCAAGGGUCGCCCAAUUCAGGCAAAUCUUCUGCGGAUGCUGCAAUUGCUGCUUACAGCGAGCGCCGCGAAAGCUGGGAAUCCAUUUGGGGUAGUCCAGUAUUAAGGUCUGGCGGCUUCAACGAUAUAACCACACUGUCUUCUAUGUACUUUACCCCAUUUGCACCUGCUAUCAUCCCAUACACCGGCUUCGCCACCAAGGCCUUGCAGAUUUACUCCUUCGAAAUCUCUGACCUGAAUGACUGCUUGAAGUGGCCACUCUAUGUGUAUGGCGUGGUUGCUGCUCGAGACGUUGUGGAUGGUAACCGCAACCUCCUCUUCUCUCGCUCCCGGGCUAACUGCCAAGUACUCACUGAAAAGGAUCCUUUUUUGCACUUGACUGGGCCUUCUCGUGUUAUUCUGGCUGAGUGUCCUGUCGACUUUGAAGUUGAACUAAGGAUAAGAGAUGGAACAGAGUCCCAAGAUAAAGCCUUGAUGAGUGAUGCUAUCCACCACAGUUUCGCUAGUGCUGACAGCGCUGUUUUCUUUAGCUGCCUGUGUUCAGCAACGUUAAGCCUCCAGACUAUUUAUAGUGCAGUCCAGGCCACUAUCUUGUCCAUUCGUCUUGUUGGAGGGGAGUCAUCUUUUGAAUAUGGAGGUCAAGUUUCAUGUUCAUCAUAUACUGAAGGUGUCAAUGCUGAUGCACGUCGGGAAGUUGUGUUGAUUGAUUGUGAUGAAAAAUUUCUUGAAGAUGGACUGGAUGGCUAUAUCUCUCUUUCAAGGAAUGUUGUCACCGUGAAAUUGAAAGGAUCACUGAAGAUUACCAUAAAAGAAUAUGCAAAGUCUCGUCUUGUCGCUAACGAGGCCCAGCUUGAUAUCCCUGCUCAGCAUUGCCAAGUAAGCAAGGGAGAAUGUGUUCUUGGCGGACAUAAUGUGGUUGUUCUUAUUGCUUGGUCCCUGCUUGUGAGGGACAAGCUCGCUAACUUGGUGAUGGGGUGA
RNAcentral lists this ribosomal RNA (1389 nucleotides) under Triticum aestivum (bread wheat). Its description in RNAcentral is "partial small subunit ribosomal RNA". The record is from RNAcentral. Lineage: Eukaryota; Viridiplantae; Streptophyta; Magnoliopsida; Poales; Poaceae.